GUGCCCUUUUAAGGUUGACUCAGUGCUUUAAGAGGCUAACACAGAAGGGUAAAGUAAGUCUCCAUAAAACCCAAAGAGGAGAUGGUAAAACUCCUCUUUGGAUCCUGUCUGGAGUCACAGCU
RNAcentral lists this small nucleolar RNA (122 nucleotides) under Dasypus novemcinctus (nine-banded armadillo). RNAcentral describes it as "Small nucleolar RNA SNORA26 (ENSDNOG00000049045.1)". It matches the Rfam family "Small nucleolar RNA SNORA26". From Rfam's summary of the family: The snoRNA HBI-6 belong to the H/ACA family of snoRNAs, guiding the pseudouridylation of position U4522 if the 28S rRNA. The record is from RNAcentral. Lineage: Eukaryota; Metazoa; Chordata; Mammalia; Cingulata; Dasypodidae.